This 286-nucleotide ribosomal RNA is filed under the name Escherichia coli. Its description in RNAcentral is "partial 16S ribosomal RNA". It matches the Rfam family "Bacterial small subunit ribosomal RNA", at positions 1260 to 1533 of the family's 1533-position model. RNAcentral also lists the same sequence under 2 other names. Lineage: Bacteria; Pseudomonadati; Pseudomonadota; Gammaproteobacteria; Enterobacterales; Enterobacteriaceae. The record is from RNAcentral.
AGAGCAAGCGGACCUCAUAAAGUGCGUCGUAGUCCGGAUUGGAGUCUGCAACUCGACUCCAUGAAGUCGGAAUCGCUAGUAAUCGUGGAUCAGAAUGCCACGGUGAAUACGUUCCCGGGCCUUGUACACACCGCCCGUCACACCAUGGGAGUGGGUUGCAAAAGAAGUAGGUAGCUUAACCUUCGGGAGGGCGCUUACCACUUUGUGAUUCAUGACUGGGGUGAAGUCGUAACAAGGUAACCGUAGGGGAACCUGCGGUUGGAUCACCUCCUUACCUUAAAGAAGC